GACGAACGCUGGCGGCGUGCUUAACACAUGCAAGUCGAACGGAAAGGCCCUGCUUUUGUGGGGUGCUCGAGUGGCGAACGGGUGAGUAACGCGUGAGUAACCUGCCCUUGACUUUGGGAUAACUUCAGGAAACUGGGGCUAAUACCGGAUAGGAGCUCCUGCUGCAUGGUGGGGGUUGGAAAGUUUCGGCGGUUGGGGAUGGACUCGCGGCUUAUCAGCUUGUUGGUGGGGUAGUGGCUUACCAAGGCUUUGACGGGUAGCCGGCCUGAGAGGGUGACCGGCCACCUUGGGACUGAGAUACGGCCCAGACUCCUACGGGAGGCAGCAGUGGGGAAUAUUGCACAAUGGGCGGAAGCCUGAUGCAGCAACGACGCGUGCGGGAUGACGGCCUUCGGGUUGUAAACCGCUUUCGCCUGUGACGAAGCGUGAGUGACGGUAAUGGGUAAAGAAGCACCGGCUAACUACGUG
This 468-nucleotide ribosomal RNA is filed under the name uncultured bacterium. Its description in RNAcentral is "partial 16S ribosomal RNA". It matches the Rfam family "Bacterial small subunit ribosomal RNA", at positions 28 to 507 of the family's 1533-position model. The record is from RNAcentral.